CCUGCAGGCAGAAGCGGGGCUGACGGGGCAGAGGGUUCCGCCCCCUCACCACCCCUCCUGCCUGCAG
MicroRNA precursor from Chlorocebus sabaeus (green monkey), 67 nucleotides. It matches the Rfam family "mir-6511 microRNA precursor family". Lineage: Eukaryota; Metazoa; Chordata; Mammalia; Primates; Cercopithecidae. The record is from Rfam.